Long non-coding RNA from Acanthochromis polyacanthus (spiny chromis), 462 nucleotides. RefSeq lists it as uncharacterized. NCBI's taxonomy places the organism in Eukaryota, Metazoa, Chordata, Actinopteri, Pomacentridae. The transcript has 5 exons. The record is from RefSeq and is a predicted model, not a curated record.
CAUCCUCAUCAAACUCCACCAAAAGUGACAGAGCUGAGCCAGCACAGCUGUAGCUAACCCCACUGCACAGGGUCAAUCAGGUAAGGACAGCAUCACUGGGAAAAAGGCUCCAGACAUCCCAUAAACAAGGACAAACCAGCGAAGAAAUUUGCUCCAGUGGCGAUGUCUCCUCCCCGCCCCCUGCUGGUGAGAUGGUGAAUACUCAGCUCAGGCUCAGAUCACAUUGUCCCCAGCCAAGAUAUCCAAGGGUUAUUCAAUUCCUAGAUUGCACUUGAAACAUACGAAGAAAAUGUAAUGUGUAAUACUCAUAAUUAUUUUAAAGAAAUCAUCAAAGGUACAACUCCCCACCACCACCACCUGAGCCGCUGCCACUUGGAAAGAGGAGACCAGAGGGGAAGUUUAAGAGAAGCAAACACCUCGUGAUGAAGCUCUACAGAUCCUCAAACCCCAGAUGGGACAAUC